Molecule: long non-coding RNA, 1490 nt
Filed under: Aquilegia coerulea
Lineage: Eukaryota; Viridiplantae; Streptophyta; Magnoliopsida; Ranunculales; Ranunculaceae
Description: long non-coding RNA (ACOE_LNC001361)
Source: RNAcentral
GUUGCUCUAAUGCCUCAAGAUCAGACAUUGAGCCAUUGGGAUUCGUGUUAUGAUUUUGGGGCGUUACAACACCCAGUUCAGAUUCUUGUACAACAACCGGUGCACCAAUACCCGGUUAAAUUGGGUUAUCUAAUCCCUAGUGGCCCCAUUGCUAAACUGAUGAGACCUAUGGUAUUCGAUCCGACCUGUCCUGCCAGUCCAGAUAAAACUGAUUGAUGAUCCCAUGCUCUCGAUACAACCUCUUAUACAACUACCAAGGACACCAAAUAGUAUUUUAACUUUGGGUACACACAGUACUCCCGGAUGAGAUCUUCAGACUUCUCGGCACUGCCAGGUCUCUUGAGUAGUCUUGUUCAGUUCUUCUGUCAGCCUGGCCUUACUAACGCGGAGGUGCUCGAGUUCCUCGACUUCAGAACUACCAGGACUCCGGCUUAGAUGAAAUAACCUCAAGAGUGCUGACUGGGUCUGCACAACAGAUAGAAAGUGUCAGAAAUUGCUACCUGAAUAAAAGAAGAGGAGAAUGAUAUAGUUAGCUGGAAUAUACCUCAAGCCACUUAUGGGUCACCAUACGCACAACCUGCUCACGAGGAAGAGAUUUGCAGUAGGCAACGUCUCGCGGCAACAAGUUGUAGAAGACGAAAACGUCGGCGGUAUAGCUAUCAACUAUACCAGAAUCAUCCUCAAUCAUUGAGGUCCCAUCCCCGAAUGUGGGCUAGAUCCCGAAGAUACUCGUCUCCGGAUUUGGCUUAUUACGAUCGGGCCCAAAUGGAACAAUAAUAUCGGUACCGGUUAAAAAAACAUCUACAGAAAUGUCGACAACUGGUGGCGGCCCCUCGGCCGGAGUAGGCAUCGGUGACACCUUCCCGGCAGAAACAGGAACGAAGAACUCUAAGUUGGUCCUGACACGCUCCACAACAAGAGCGUCAACAAUAGGAACUUUUGGAACCGCUGCCAACUAGUAUGGUCCCCACUGUAGGGGCCCUCAAAUCCCUGAGAGCAUGUGCAAUGGUCCCUCCCUUCUCUGCCUAGGGCCUCUACGACCAGCGGUAUUAGCCUCAACUAGAGAAGCAGAAACAACCCUCUUAGAACCCCUUACAGAAUCGUCAACAACAACCUUACCCUUAGGAUCAAAAGGGGUAGAGGGCUGAACACCAGAAGCCUCAUCCGACAUUCUCACUACAACAACAGCCAAAGGGGCAAAAACAGAAACAACUUCAACAGAAAGAGGAUGAGGCAAACUUACCGGAACCCCUUUAUCACUGGGGGCGUCAUGGUGGUGGAGAUCCUCCAUGAUCUAAUCACCAGUCUCUUGUAUGUUUCCAAGGCCAGGCCCACCGAGGGGACUGGUAGCAUUAAGAAAUCUUCCCUCAUCCGACUCGCAUGAACCAGCAGACUGCUCAGGUUGAGCAACUUUAUCAAGCAACUUUAUCAACUGCAAUCAUAACCUGCACCAUAGACAGAAAGAAACCUUCAGUUGCAGGCUCACUUGA